This 253-nucleotide ribosomal RNA is filed under the name uncultured bacterium. Its description in RNAcentral is "partial 16S ribosomal RNA". It matches the Rfam family "Bacterial small subunit ribosomal RNA", at positions 524 to 776 of the family's 1533-position model. The record is from RNAcentral.
UACGUAGGGUGCAAGCGUUAAUCGGAAUUACUAGGCGUAAAGCGUGCGCAGGCGGUUUUGUAAGUCUGUCGUGAAAGCCCCGGGCUCAACCUGGGAAUUGCGUUGGAGACUGCAAGGCUAGAAUCUGGCAGAGGGGGGUAGAAUUCCACGUGUAGCAGUGAAAUGCGUAGAGAUGUGGAGGAACACCGAUGGCGAAGGCAGCCCCCUGGGUCAAGAUUGACGCUCAUGCACGAAAGCGUGGGGAGCAAACAGG